UUGCAGCCGUCAAAAUUAUCCCCAUCUUCGACCUAAGGAGUAGGACUACUAUUCUUCUCCGCAACAGAAGCAGAGCCACCACCUCGUUAAAGAUCUGCAUAACCUCAUCACUAUCUUCUCUACCUUGCCACCAUGACCAGAUUCACCACCAUCGGCUACCAGUCUAGCACCACCUUUUCCUCCUCCUCCUUUCUGUGUUGUCUCGAACCGCUCCUUCCAGUUCAGUUACCAGUAUCAAGUGACAUAGACGUAUUUUUUUUGAUCAGUGUUGAUCAAAAUCAAUGAGUAGCUUGGUGGAGAAAUUGAUGAUAAUUAGUUGUUUCUGAAAAAUUAGGUCCUACUGUGGUCUCAUUGGAUUGAUUCCCUUAGUGGUUGCAACUCUUUAGUGGGGAAAAGCGAACAAAGAAGUGGGCAUUUAAGUGGGAUUUAUACAAAUGUGGAAUUGAGUUAAGUAUUGAGGAAGAUUAUAAGAACAUAAUGUUGAAUUACAAUUUUACUGUUAGAAUGCUAUCUGUUUCAGUUGGUAAUUAUUAUGUGGACAUUGCAGGACAGAAGCUGAUUCUUGCAAAAAAUGUUGUAGCAUUGUUUAAGAAGGAAAAAUAUAUUAAAGGCCUACAAAAUCUUUGUGCAGAGAACUUAAUGGAAUUUCUGGGUCAAGAGGUGGACCCUCAGCAUUGUAGUAAAAGUACAGUAACUUAGAAGGCACAUGUUUACAGCUUUGGAGUACCUAGUGGUUAAACUUGCAGCGUGGAGUGGACAAAAACCUUUCAACUUCCCAACAGAUCAUGCAAGAAACCUUCAAGGUCUGGUAAAUUACACCUAAAUUUCAUUCUAACUCAGACAAUGAAUUGGUCAAGUAUUAUCCAAUCUAGCAUUUCAGAAUUUCAGUUGUUAGGGAGACUGGAAGGUGUAAAAGAGACAGAUACAGAUUAAAAGAAAACAAUGGAGCUGCACAUAUGGAUUGAUUACGUACAAGCUGCUGUUAUUUGAAGCUUAUUGUUUCAUGUUCUUUUUGUUUUUGCUUUUUUAAAAUAAUUGUAGUAAUUCUUUUUCUUUGGAUUUUUCAUUUAACUUUUUUGAUAUGAUAAAAAAAAUUAAGACAUCAUUGAUACAUUUAUUAAGUAUAUUUGUGCAA
This is an RNA transcript of Papaver somniferum (opium poppy), 1135 nucleotides long. RefSeq lists it as uncharacterized. The transcript is spliced from 3 exons. The record is from RefSeq and is a predicted model, not a curated record. NCBI's taxonomy places the organism in Eukaryota, Viridiplantae, Streptophyta, Magnoliopsida, Ranunculales, Papaveraceae.